RNAcentral lists this ribosomal RNA (253 nucleotides) under uncultured bacterium. Its description in RNAcentral is "partial 16S ribosomal RNA". It matches the Rfam family "Bacterial small subunit ribosomal RNA", at positions 524 to 776 of the family's 1533-position model. The record is from RNAcentral.
UACGUAGGGGGCAAGCGUUGUCCGGAAUCAUUGGGCGUAAAGAGCGUGUAGGCGGCCCGGUAAGUCCGCCGUGAAAGUCCAGGGCUCAACCCUGGAAAGCCGGUGGAUACUGUCGGGCUAGAGUCCGGAAGAGGCGAGUGGAAUUCCUGGUGUAGCGGUGGAAUGCGCAGAUAUCAGGAGGAACACCAAUAGCGAAGGCAGCUCGCUGGGACGGUACUGACGCUAAGGCGCGAAAGCGUGGGGAGCGAACAGG